UACGUUCUCGGGUCUUGUACUCACCGCCCGUCACACCACGGGAGUUGGCAAUGCCCAAAGUCUCGAUUUAUCGGGAUUAAGGCAGGGUCAAUGACUAGGGUG
This 102-nucleotide ribosomal RNA is filed under the name uncultured bacterium. Its description in RNAcentral is "partial 16S ribosomal RNA". It matches the Rfam family "Bacterial small subunit ribosomal RNA", at positions 1367 to 1482 of the family's 1533-position model. The record is from RNAcentral.